ACCUGGCUGGUUCAGUUGGCAGAGCAUGUGAUUCCUGAUCUUGGGGUUGUGAGUUCAAGCCCCAUGUUGGGUG
This 73-nucleotide transfer RNA is filed under the name Canis lupus familiaris (dog). It matches the Rfam family "tRNA". From Rfam's summary of the family: Transfer RNA (tRNA) molecules are approximately 80 nucleotides in length. Their secondary structure includes four short double-helical elements and three loops (D, anti-codon, and T loops). The record is from Rfam by way of RNAcentral. Lineage: Eukaryota; Metazoa; Chordata; Mammalia; Carnivora; Canidae. RNAcentral also lists the same sequence under 3 other names.